RNAcentral lists this ribosomal RNA (497 nucleotides) under uncultured bacterium. RNAcentral's name for it is "partial 16S ribosomal RNA". It matches the Rfam family "Bacterial small subunit ribosomal RNA", at positions 28 to 506 of the family's 1533-position model. The record is from RNAcentral.
GACGAACGCUGGCGGCGUGCCUAAUACACGCAAGUCGAGCGGACGAAUCGAAAGCUUGCUUUUGAUUCGUUAGCGGCGGACGGGUGAGUAACACGUGGGCAACCUGCCCUGUAGACGGGGAUAACACCGAGAAAUCGGUGCUAAUACCGGAUAACACGAAAUGUCGCAUGACGUUUCGUUGAAAGACGGCGCAAGCUGUCGCUACAGGAUGGGCCCGCGGCGCAUUAGCUAGUUGGUGAGGUAACGGCUCACCAAGGCGACGAUGCGUAGCCGACCUGAGAGGGUGAUCGGCCACACUGGGACUGAGACACGGCCCAGACUCCUACGGGAGGCAGCAGUAGGGAAUCUUCCGCAAUGGACGAAAGUCUGACGGAGCAACGCCGCGUGAGCGAAGAAGGCCUUCGGGUCGUAAAGCUCUGUUGUUAGGGAAGAACAAGUAACGCAGUAACUGGCGUUACCGUGACGGUACCUAACGAGAAAACCACGGCUAACUACGU